This 643-nucleotide long non-coding RNA is filed under the name Olea europaea (common olive). RNAcentral describes it as "long non-coding RNA (OEUR_LNC002905)". Lineage: Eukaryota; Viridiplantae; Streptophyta; Magnoliopsida; Lamiales; Oleaceae. The record is from RNAcentral.
ACCCACAAUAUGAAACCUCCAUUAUCCUCUCAACUCCUACAAUUCCACCAAAUUUCCCAAAUCCAUCUUGCAAAACCUCAAUCGUUGACACCAAAUUGUAACAUCUCGAUGCCGCUUCUUCUGCUGUACCAAAAACUAGCACUAUCCCAAGAACCACUACUGUUCCCUCAAUUCCAUCCCUCAAACCUUCAAUUGUCGGUACCAAACCGAGGCAACUCGAUGCCGCUUCUCUUGUUGUAACCGGAAAAUCGAACACCAUCAUCGACGACGCUUCUCCAGCUGUACCAAAAAAAUGUCGAAGACAAUGGCUCCCAUCUGCGAUGAUUCUCUAUCUUGCAAGCGAUAGUACGCAUGUUGUUCGAUUUACAUUAAACUGCUUUAUUUUGCCCAGUGAAUAUAUAACAAAUGAGAUUUAGAUGAGAGAGUGAGAGUGAGAGUGAGAGUGAGAGGCCUUGAGUCAAAUGUAUUUUGUCUAUUUCGUUUAUCGAACCCUCACACCGGUAUGAACGACUCUGUUCAAUGGUGCCUUGUUACAGUUGCUAGUUCAAUUCUCAAUUUAUGAUAUUUUUUCCCUAUUUAUUUCAUAUUCAUUCAUCUUUGUCACUUGCCUGAAGUAGGAACGAUGGAUUUAAUUCUCUAAAAC